RNAcentral lists this ribosomal RNA (492 nucleotides) under uncultured bacterium. RNAcentral describes it as "partial 16S ribosomal RNA". It matches the Rfam family "Bacterial small subunit ribosomal RNA", at positions 29 to 507 of the family's 1533-position model. The record is from RNAcentral.
AGUGAACGCUGGCGGUAGGCCUAACACAUGCAAGUCGAACGGCAGCACAGUAAGAGCUUGCUCUUACGGGUGGCGAGUGGCGGACGAGUGAGGAAUACAUCGGAAUCUACUUUUUCGUGGGGGAUAACGUAGGGAAACUUACGCUAAUACCGCAUACGACCUACGGGUGGAAGCAGGGGAUCUUCGGACCUUGCGCGAUUGAAUGAGCCGAUGUCGGAUUAGCUAGUUGGCGGGGUAAAGGCCCACCAAGGCGACGAUCCGUAGCUGGUCUGAGAGGAUGAUCAGCCACACUGGAACUGAGACACGGUCCAGACUCCUACGGGAGGCAGCAGUGGGGAAUAUUGGACAAUGGGCGAAAGCCUGAUCCAGCCAUACCGCGUGGGUGAAGAAGGCCUUCGGGUUGUAAAGCCCUUUUGUUGGGAAAGAAAAGCAGCAGGUUAAUACCCCGCUGUUCUGACGGUACCCAAAGAAUAAGCACCGGCUAACUUCGUG